UCUUGUGUUUGCUUUCCUGUGUAGACUUGGAAAGAUUUUGGAGAUUGAAGAAGUCGUAGAGGCUUUGAUGGAAGGAAUAGUGACCAACCGGAAAAUGGUUUUUGUUCCAAAAAAUCAGAGCAUUGCUUUAUUGUUUGAAAGGGUUUUUCCAGAACGUGCCCUGAACUUUCUGAAGAAGAUAUCUGAGGUCAAGUUUGAUGCAGUCAUUGGGCAGAGAAGCACCCAGUGAAAAGCAGGAAUUUAUUCUCAUUUCCCAGAGGCACCAGUGAAAACAGAACAUGUGCUGAGCAUAGUUCAGCUGGCUUGAUUCAGAACAGAGCUCAGGCAGGUGCUUCCAGGCCACCAUUCCCAGGCCUAGGAAUGCACCUACUUCUUAAUCUUUGUCCCAGGCACACCUAAGGGCUUAUCCCACUCCUGCAGCUGGAACACACCUGCAUAACAGGGAGUGUUAGCAAAGCAGUGAUGCAGCUCUAGAAGGGCUGCUUUUAAUGUACAUCCCAUCACCUUCGUCUCAUUUUGCUGAGGCAGGAAUUCCCACAAAGGUGGGUAGCCUGUUUUCACCUCAGUUUGUAUUUUUGAAUUAUAAAAUGCUCUAAUGAAUACCUAAUUUGCCAUAUUUUUGUAGGAAAUACCUGAAAUAAUAUAGGUGUAUAUGUAAUACACCUAAUUACAUCGAUUAUCAAUCAUGCAUUUGCACCAUCAAUAUGCCUUUAUAUGAAUAAAUGCUGUUCUUUAAUGCAAGGA
Molecule: non-coding RNA, 744 nt
Organism: Lonchura striata (white-rumped munia)
Lineage: Eukaryota; Metazoa; Chordata; Aves; Passeriformes; Estrildidae
Source: RefSeq, a predicted model, not a curated record